Oncorhynchus tshawytscha (Chinook salmon) is the source of this 1200-nucleotide long non-coding RNA. NCBI's taxonomy places the organism in Eukaryota, Metazoa, Chordata, Actinopteri, Salmoniformes, Salmonidae. The record is from Ensembl.
CUUUGCUCCAACAGGGAUUCAACAGCCAGACAGUGUAUUGUGUGUGACUUCAGUUCUAGUGGGAUGAGGAGUACCGGACAGGGCAUCCUAACUUUAGAUCACUCACAAAUGAGUGAAAUGUGAGAGAGAGAAUGUUAAAAAAUAGAAACCAAAAAAUAAUCAUUUAGCUUUUCUUGAGAAAUAAAGUAUAAGUCAGACCACUAAAGAAAUGCAAGAUAUUUUUGUUUGUUAAUAACACUUACAUUUAUAAAGACCACCAUCGAUUAUAAUUUAAACAUUUUUGUGGAGGGGAAAAAAACAACUCCAAACCCACACUGAAGCUGAUUUCUGCUAACUGUACAGUUUUUUAAUGAUUAUCUAGACAACUCCCUAGCAAGCAUUAGUCCUGUCAACUGUAAAUGGAAAAAGUAGACUACAUUGCAAUACCCUAUGUACAGUAUAUUAUAUAUAUAUAUUUAUAUCACACUGGCUGUAAUUAUGACAAGAUAUAUUCAUGAGAAUCAUUAGUGCAAGGCAUGAGGAAGAGACCUGGACAGAGUUAUUGAUCAGGACGGGUUGUGUGUGUGUGUGUGUGUGUGUGUGUGUAACAGGUCCAGGGUUUAAGAAUAACACAAAAGUGUACAUGUGUGAGCGAGCCGUGUUUUAGCUUGUGUGUGUUACUUAGAUCUGGAAGGGUUUAGAGAAAUAAACCUGCGUCUGACUGUGUUUGUUGUCUCUGAGGAUGUUUUAUCACCAAACAGUCCAGUCUCCCUCUGUGUACACACAACCCCACACCCACAGCACUUCCUAAAGAACAGGGGAGGAAUAGUGACCAUGACAAAGAGAGACGUCCUGAUUGGCACCCUAUUCCCUAUAUAGUGCACUACUUUUGACCAGGGCUUUAGUCAAAAGCAGUGCACGAUUUGGGGAAUAUGGUGACAUUUGGGACACACCCAGGGCCACAGUGUCAGCUGGCUCCUAAUGAAGAAGCUCUCAACACCUAGAGGUCACCUCACCAUGUUCCCCUCUCUCAACACCUAAAGAGGUCACCUCACCAUGUUCCCCUGUCUCUCCAAGUGGAAAACAGCUGCCUUCUAGCCAGCAUCUUGUUUACACCUGGACAGGCCUCAUAACCUGAACCAUGACCUAAUCUCAUCCAUUACAUGUUGAGACGUAAUGAACAUCAGCUGACAUUGUAACCAGAAUGGAUCUGGAUGUAAC